UCCAUCAGGAAGCUGUGCCCUAUAAACACUCCCCAACAUUCCUCCACCAAUAAGAUUAUCCUGAGAAAAACUGUUUGUGUAUUGCUGAAGAGAUGCAAUUGUGUAAGAUCUCACAUAUGUUUGAGGCACAACAGGUUUGGUGGAAGUUCUUGCUGAUGUGGCGACAGCAGCCACCGCUAUAGGCUCGACAAUAACCUUCUCGAAAGGUAGAUGAAUUGGUUCUGAUGAUGAAACUGGCGGUGGUGGAGGUGGUGGUGGUGGAGGCGGUGGAGGUGGUGGAGGUCGCAUGGAGUCUAUAUCAAAUCUGGUGAAAUCUAUCUCCUGACUGUCUUGCUUUGGUAACGCGGUGAAUCUUUGCAUGGGGACUGUUCUACGUGGUGGUGGUGGUGGUGGUGAAAGCAGUUGUUGUUGCUCCUCCUUUGGUGGUGGAACUGCCGCCUUCUUUGGGGGUGCUGAAAGAACAAGUAAGAAUAAUAUUAUUAAAGGUUAAAUUUCAAGAAUUAGUAACAUACUUCCAUUUCUUAAUAUCACAAAAGUGAUUAUUGGGAAACUUUUAAAUUAUAAUGUCUUUUUUUUCCAAAAAACCCAUCAACCUUGUAAUUGCUUCCAAAUAAACCCUCAAACUUCAUGGGUUAAUCUUAAAAAUACCUUAUAUUUUGUGUUUUUUUUUCCAGAUUAAACCUCAAAUUUAUUUUUUGCCUGAAAAAAACCUUGUAUUUUUUUUAUUUUUUCCGAAAAAGCCCUCGACUUUGUAACCUUUUUCUAAAAAAACCCUCAACCUUCUUAAUGCUUCCAAAUAAACCCGCAACUUUUUUAGUUUUUCUCAAAAAAAACCCUCACAUUUUACAAUUUUUUUGGAAAAAAUGACUAAAAGGGGCAGAUCGAAAAAAAUUAAAAAAAUACAAGGUCUUUGUCAGGCAAAAAACAAAUUUGAGGAGUAAUCCAGAAGAAAAAAAAAAAAAAAAAAAAAAAAAAAAAAAAAAGCAAAAUAUAAGGUCUUUUAUGAGAUUAACCCUUUAUAAUCCUGUAGACUUUUAAAAGUAAAAAUAUUCUAAUAGGAAAAAAAAUACCUUAUCAAGAAAAAAAAAACAAAACAAAAGUAAAAAGCUAUGAUAAAAAGGAAUGAAAGUAGGAUGCUAUAACAUAUCUAAAAAAAGUACGUUGCUAUUUCUCACAUUCUUAGUUUCUUACCUUUAUCAACUUGAUUAGGUGGUUGAGCAAAGGGCCCACUCUCCAUAUGACUCUCACGAUUAUACGGAGCGAUCUCAUGUCUCUUGUUCGUCAAACCAGGAAGUCGUUUUCUUCUAAAGCAGGGUGGUAUAAAUAGCAGACAGACUAAUCCCAAAACUAUAAAACCAAAUACCGAUGCAAUUGAUACCCAAACUUUCUUUUUAGAACUCCAUGACUUAUUUGUGGAGCUAGAUUUGGACCCUUGAUUUGACGAUGGACCAUCCGCUUGUUGUGAUGGUGUUUGUUUGCCAGGUGGCGAUUGUUUCCCGGGUGUCUGUCGAGGUGAUGGGAAAAAAGGCGUUCCGGUGGUGGUGCCUGGGGGCGUGAGUGGGGUCGGGGAUGUAGGUGGAGAUAGUGGAGCUGCACUUGUGGUAUUGAAUAAGUUCCCGUCUUUU
RNAcentral lists this long non-coding RNA (1625 nucleotides) under Lactuca sativa (garden lettuce). Its description in RNAcentral is "long non-coding RNA (LSAT_LNC008633)". Lineage: Eukaryota; Viridiplantae; Streptophyta; Magnoliopsida; Asterales; Asteraceae. The record is from RNAcentral.